This 235-nucleotide ribosomal RNA is filed under the name uncultured bacterium. RNAcentral describes it as "partial 16S ribosomal RNA". It matches the Rfam family "Bacterial small subunit ribosomal RNA", at positions 100 to 334 of the family's 1533-position model. The record is from RNAcentral.
CGGAACGGGUGAGUAACAUAUCGGAACGUGCCCAGUAAUGGGGGAUAGCCCGGCGAAAGCCGGAUUAAUACCGCAUACGACCUACGGGUGAAAGCGGGGGACCUGCAAGGGCCUCGCGUUAUUGGAGCGGCCGAUAUCAGAUUAGCUAGUUGGUGGGGUAAAGGCCUACCAAGGCGACGAUCUGUAGCUGGUCUGAGAGGACGACCAGCCACACUGGGACUGAGACACGGCCCAG